This 73-nucleotide transfer RNA is filed under the name Canis lupus familiaris (dog). It matches the Rfam family "tRNA". Rfam says of the family: Transfer RNA (tRNA) molecules are approximately 80 nucleotides in length. Their secondary structure includes four short double-helical elements and three loops (D, anti-codon, and T loops). Lineage: Eukaryota; Metazoa; Chordata; Mammalia; Carnivora; Canidae. RNAcentral also lists the same sequence under 1 other name. The record is from Rfam by way of RNAcentral.
AUCUGGCUGGCUCAGUAGGUAGAGUAUGUGACUCUUGAUCUUGGGAUUGUGAGUUCGAGCCCCACGUUGGGUG